UGCUCGCUCCUAACAAUGUUCAUCCCAAACACCUGUGCACAUUUAGAGAGGGACUCGGAGUUGUGCUUGGGGUCCCUUGCUCUGAUACACACAUUAGUUAAAUAUUGAACGUGAGAGGGCUUAAUAUUAAUACAACUUUUAACAACGGAUCUCUUGGCUCUCGCAUCGAUGAAGAACGCAGCGAAAUGCGAUAAGUAAUGUGAAUUGCAGAAUUCAGUGAAUCAUCGAAUUUUUGAACGCACCUUGCGCUCCCUGGUAUUCCGGGGAGCACGCCUGUUCGAGUGUCGUGAAAUUGUCAAACCGGGAUGCUUUUURGUUUCUCGGGUUGGUUGUUGGGCUUUGCAGUUCCUUUGAUUGGGAUGGCUGGCCUGAAAAGCAUUAGCUGGCUUUUAAUGUGGGAUUGGUUCUACUCAGCGUGAUAAUGAUUUGACCGCGGAGGACAUCUGACGAGAUGACCAAUUCUGAUUAGGGCUGCUUCUAAUUUUGGUCGAGCGGAUUGUGAAUCUGGUUGACUUUUGGGCUUUUGACCUCGAAUCAGGUGGGACUACCCGCUGAACUUAAGCAUAUCAAUAAGCGGAGGAAAAGAAACUAACAAGGAUUCCCCUAGUAACCGGCGAGUGAAGCGGGAAGAGCUCAAAUUUAAAAUCUGGCAGUCUUUGA
This 660-nucleotide ribosomal RNA is filed under the name uncultured fungus. RNAcentral describes it as "eukaryotic LSU rRNA". The stretch from base 134 to 287 matches the Rfam family "5.8S ribosomal RNA". Lineage: Eukaryota; Fungi. The record is from RNAcentral.